UACAGAGGGUGCAAGCGUUGUUCGGAAUUACUGGGCGUAAAGCGCGUGUAGGCGGCUAAGUAAGUCGGGCGUGAAAUCCCACGGCUCAACCGUGGAAGUGCACUCGAAACUGCAUAGCUAGAGUCCUGGAGAGGAAGGUGGAAUGCUUGGUGUAGAGGUGAAAUUCGUAGAUAUCAAGCGGAACACCGGUGGCGAAGGCGGCCUCUGGACAGUGACUGACGCUGAGACGGCGAAAAGCGUGGGGAGCAAACA
This 252-nucleotide ribosomal RNA is filed under the name uncultured bacterium. RNAcentral's name for it is "partial 16S ribosomal RNA". It matches the Rfam family "Bacterial small subunit ribosomal RNA", at positions 524 to 774 of the family's 1533-position model. The record is from RNAcentral.